Molecule: ribosomal RNA, 216 nt
Filed under: Glomeromycotina sp.
Lineage: Eukaryota; Fungi; Glomeromycota
Description: partial small subunit ribosomal RNA
Rfam family: Eukaryotic small subunit ribosomal RNA (bases 87-216)
Source: RNAcentral
GGGUCAGUAGGUUGGUCGUGCCACCGGUACGUACUGGUCUCACUGAUUCCUCCUUCCUGAAGAACCGUAAUGCCAUUACUUUGGUGUUGCGGGGAAACAGGACUGUUACUUUUAAAAAAUUAGAGUGUUUAAAGCAAGCUAAAGCUUGAAUACAUUAGCAUGGAAUAAUGAAAUAGGACGAUCGAUCCUAUUUUGUUGGUUUCUAGGAUUGACGUA